Molecule: ribosomal RNA, 253 nt
Filed under: uncultured bacterium
Lineage: Bacteria
Description: partial 16S ribosomal RNA
Rfam family: Bacterial small subunit ribosomal RNA
Source: RNAcentral
UACGUAGGGGGCAAGCGUUAUCCGGAUUUAUUGGGCGUAAAGAGCGUGUAGGCGGCCAUGUAGGUCCGUUGUGAAAACUCGAGGCUCAACCUCGAGACGCCGGUGGAAACCGUAAGGCUAGAGUCCGGAAGAGGAGAGUGGAAUUCCUGGUGUAGCGGUGAAAUGCGCAGAUAUCAGGAGGAACACCCGUGGCGAAAGCGGCUCUCUGGGACGGUACUGACGCUGAGACGCGAAAGCGUGGGGAGCAAACAGG